RNAcentral lists this ribosomal RNA (804 nucleotides) under uncultured rumen protozoa. RNAcentral describes it as "bacterial SSU rRNA". It matches the Rfam family "Eukaryotic small subunit ribosomal RNA", at positions 344 to 1292 of the family's 1831-position model. The record is from RNAcentral.
UAAUGGCUUUCCGGGAAAGGGAUUAGGGUUCGAUUCUGGAGAAGGAGCCUGAGAACGGCUACUACAUCUACUUGGAAGGCAGCAGGCGCGUAAAUUACCCAAUCCUGACUCAGGGAGGUGGUGACAAGAUAUAAUGACGCUAUGAAAAAUAGUGAUUAUAGUGAGGGUAUUCCAAACCGAACCACAAGUACGAUUAGAGGGCAAGUCUGGUGCCAGCAGCCGCGGUAUUCCAGCUCUAAUAGCGUAUAUCAAAGUUGCUGCAGUUAAAAGCUCGUAGUUGGAUUUCUAUGUAUCUGCUUUCCCCCACGGGAAUACAUCCUACUAGUCUUCGGACUGUUACUGUGAGAAAAUUAGAGUGUUUCAAGCAGGCUCUCGCAAGAAUACAUUAGCAUGGAAUACGAAUGUAUUUAGAACCCGGCCACCCACAAAGACGAACAGACAGUGGGGGCAUUAGAAUUAACUCGUCCUAUGUUGUUUUUCUUGGAUUUGUAAGACUAACGUAUGCGAAGCAUUCGCCACGCAUGUCUUCACUAAUCAAUGACGAAGAUAGGGAUCAAGACAUCACAUCCUGCCGUAUCCUAUCUAUAAACUAUGCCGACUAGGGAUGGAGUGGGCUCAACCAUUCAGUACCUUAUGGAAAAUCAAAGUCCUCGGUCUGGCGGGAUACUGGUCGCAGACUGAACCUAGAUGACGAGGCACACCCAGAUGUGAACCGCGCUAAUCGACCAACGGGGAACCUACCAGUCCAGACAUGUAGAUUGACGACUGAUAGCCUCUCUGGAUUAGGGUGGUGGCAUGGCGUCU